UUCCUAAAAAAAAAAAAAUUGUGGUGAUGUUUGAAUUUUGGGACACUCGUCAGCGAAGAAGAAUUAUUGUUUUCCAUUUUGCUGUCCAGUUAUUGUAUUUCCGUAUAUAAUGCAACACCAGGAAAGAGUACGUAAUGAUGCGAAGGUUACAAGCUAUGACGUCGAAAAUCUCCUUAUACGGUAUGGAAAUUGGAUUGUUUAUAAAAAAUGAUUUGGUUUUCAUAACAAGGAAGAAAAACUGAAGACACGAGGCAAGAAUGAGAGAUCGUGAGAGUUGGUACUAAGACCUGGUCAAGAGAGGACCGGGCACUCCUCGUCAAGAUGGACGAGCGGAGUUUGCGAAGCAGCAGAGAGAAGGAUUGGAUUUUUAAAGGCAAGUAAAGUUUUCCCUUUGUUUGAGUUUAGUCUUAUUGUAAUUAAAAGUGUUCACUUAUUCGUCAAUUUACCCCCUUUCAGGUCGCGUAAACCCCAGCCGGUAAAAACGGC
This 486-nucleotide long non-coding RNA is filed under the name Olea europaea subsp. europaea. Lineage: Eukaryota; Viridiplantae; Streptophyta; Magnoliopsida; Lamiales; Oleaceae. The record is from RNAcentral.